Molecule: ribosomal RNA, 406 nt
Filed under: uncultured bacterium
Lineage: Bacteria
Description: partial 16S ribosomal RNA
Rfam family: Bacterial small subunit ribosomal RNA
Source: RNAcentral
AUUGAACGCUGGCGGCAGGCCUAACACAUGCAAGUCGAGCGAGCGGCGGACGGGUGAGUAAUGUAUGGGGAACUGCCCGAUAGAGGGGGAUAACUACUGGAAACGUUGGCUAAUACCGCAUACUAUCGGAUGAGCCAAUCUGGGAUUAGCUAGUUGGUGGGGUGAAUGCUAACCUAGGCGACGAUCCCUAGCGGGUCUGAGAGGAUGAUCAGCCGCACUGGGACUGAGACACGGCCCAGACUCCUACGGGAGGCAGCAGUGGGGAAUAGUGCACAAUGGGCGCAAGCCUGAUGCAGCCAUGCCGCGUGUAUGAAGAAGGCCUUAGGGUUGUAAAGUACUUUCAGCGGGGAGGCGUUACCCGCAGAAGAAGCACCGGCUAACUCCGUGCCAGCAGCCGCGGUAAUAC